Molecule: ribosomal RNA, 253 nt
Filed under: uncultured bacterium
Lineage: Bacteria
Description: partial 16S ribosomal RNA
Rfam family: Bacterial small subunit ribosomal RNA
Source: RNAcentral
UACGUAGGGUGCAAGCGUUGUCCGGAAUUAUUGGGCGUAAAGAGCUCGUAGGCGGCCUGUCGCGUCGGCUGUGAAAACCCGAGGCUCAACCUCGGGCCUGCAGUCGAUACGGGCAGGCUAGAGUUCGGUAGGGGAGACUGGAAUUCCUGGUGUAGCGGUGAAAUGCGCAGAUAUCAGGAGGAACACCGGUGGCGAAGGCGGGUCUCUGGGCCGAAACUGACGCGGAGGAGCGAAAGCGUGGGGAGCGAACAGG